GAUGAACGCUGGCGGCGUGCCUAAUACAUGCAAGUCGAGCGAACAGACGAGGAGCUUGCUCCUCUGACGUUAGCGGCGGACGGGUGAGUAACACGUGGAUAACCUACCUAUAAGACUGGGAUAACUUCGGGAAACCGGAGCUAAUACCGGAUAAUAUAUUGAACCGCAUGGUUCAAUAGUGAAAGACGGUUUUGCUGUCACUUAUAGAUGGAUCCGCGCCGCAUUAGCUAGUUGGUAAGGUAACGGCUUACCAAGGCAACGAUGCGUAGCCGACCUGAGAGGGUGAUCGGCCACACUGGAACUGAGACACGGCCCAGACUCCUACGGGAGGCAGCAGUAGGGAAUCUUCCGCAAUGGGCGAAAGCCUGACGGAGCAACGCCGCGUGAGUGAUGAAGGUCUUCGGAUCGUAAAACUCUGUUAUUAGGGAAGAACAAAUGUGUAAGUAACUAUGCACGUCUUGACGGUACCUAAUCAAAAAGCCACGGCUAACUACG
This 495-nucleotide ribosomal RNA is filed under the name uncultured bacterium. RNAcentral's name for it is "partial 16S ribosomal RNA". It matches the Rfam family "Bacterial small subunit ribosomal RNA", at positions 28 to 505 of the family's 1533-position model. The record is from RNAcentral.